This 2825-nucleotide ribosomal RNA is filed under the name Klebsiella pneumoniae. Its description in RNAcentral is "bacterial LSU rRNA". It matches the Rfam family "Bacterial large subunit ribosomal RNA". The record is from RNAcentral. Lineage: Bacteria; Pseudomonadati; Pseudomonadota; Gammaproteobacteria; Enterobacterales; Enterobacteriaceae.
GGGUUGUGAGGUUAAGCGACUAAGCGUACACGGUGGAUGCCCUGGCAGUCAGAGGCGAUGAAGGACGUGCUAAUCUGCGAAAAGCGUCGGUAAGGUGAUAUGAACCGUUAUAACCGGCGAUGUCCGAAUGGGGAAACCCAGUGCAAUUCGUUGCACUAUCGUUAACUGAAUACAUAGGUUAACGAGGCGAACCGGGGGAACUGAAACAUCUAAGUACCCCGAGGAAAAGAAAUCAACCGAGAUUCCCCCAGUAGCGGCGAGCGAACGGGGAGCAGCCCAGAGUCUGAAUCAGCUUGUGUGUUAGUGGAACGGUCUGGAAAGUCCGACGGUACAGGGUGAUAGUCCCGUACACCAAAAUGCACAGGCUGUGAACUCGAAGAGUAGGGCGGGACACGUGGUAUCCUGUCUGAAUAUGGGGGGACCAUCCUCCAAGGCUAAAUACUCCUGACUGACCGAUAGUGAACCAGUACCGUGAGGGAAAGGCGAAAAGAACCCCGGCGAGGGGAGUGAAAAAGAACCUGAAACCGUGUACGUACAAGCAGUGGGAGCACCUUCGGGUGUGACUGCGUACCUUUUGUAUAAUGGGUCAGCGACUUAUAUUCUGUAGCAAGGUUAACCGUAUAGGGGAGCCGCAGGGAAACCGAGUCUUAACUGGGCGUUAAGUUGCAGGGUAUAGACCCGAAACCCGGUGAUCUAGCCAUGGGCAGGUUGAAGGUUGGGUAACACUAACUGGAGGACCGAACCGACUAAUGUUGAAAAAUUAGCGGAUGACUUGUGGCUGGGGGUGAAAGGCCAAUCAAACCGGGAGAUAGCUGGUUCUCCCCGAAAGCUAUUUAGGUAGCGCCUCGUGAACUCAUCUUCGGGGGUAGAGCACUGUUUCGGCUAGGGGGUCAUCCCGACUUACCAACCCGAUGCAAACUACGAAUACCGAAGAAUGUUAUCACGGGAGACACACGGCGGGUGCUAACGUCCGUCGUGAAGAGGGAAACAACCCAGACCGCCAGCUAAGGUCCCAAAGUCAUGGUUAAGUGGGAAACGAUGUGGGAAGGCACAGACAGCCAGGAUGUUGGCUUAGAAGCAGCCAUCAUUUAAAGAAAGCGUAAUAGCUCACUGGUCGAGUCGGCCUGCGCGGAAGAUGUAACGGGGCUAAACCAUGCACCGAAGCUGCGGCAGCGACACUAUGUGUUGUUGGGUAGGGGAGCGUUCUGUAAGCCUGCGAAGGUGACCUGUGAGGGUUGCUGGAGGUAUCAGAAGUGCGAAUGCUGACAUAAGUAACGAUAAAGCGGGUGAAAAGCCCGCUCGCCGGAAGACCAAGGGUUCCUGUCCAACGUUAAUCGGGGCAGGGUGAGUCGACCCCUAAGGCGAGGCCGAAAGGCGUAGUCGAUGGGAAACAGGUUAAUAUUCCUGUACUUGGUGUUACUGCGAAGGGGGGACGGAGAAGGCUAUGUUAGCCGGGCGACGGUUGUCCCGGUUUAAGCAUGUAGGCUGAUUGUCCAGGCAAAUCCGGAUAAUCAAGGCUGAGGUGUGAUGACGAGGCACUACGGUGCUGAAGUAACAAAUGCCCUGCUUCCAGGAAAAGCCUCUAAGCAUCAGGUAACAUUAAAUCGUACCCCAAACCGACACAGGUGGUCAGGUAGAGAAUACCAAGGCGCUUGAGAGAACUCGGGUGAAGGAACUAGGCAAAAUGGUGCCGUAACUUCGGGAGAAGGCACGCUGGUGUGUAGGUGAAGUCCCUGCGGAUGGAGCUGAGACCAGUCGAAGAUACCAGCUGGCUGCAACUGUUUAUUAAAAACACAGCACUGUGCAAACACGAAAGUGGACGUAUACGGUGUGACGCCUGCCCGGUGCCGGAAGGUUAAUUGAUGGGGUUAUCCGUAAGGAGAAGCUCUUGAUCGAAGCCCCGGUAAACGGCGGCCGUAACUAUAACGGUCCUAAGGUAGCGAAAUUCCUUGUCGGGUAAGUUCCGACCUGCACGAAUGGCGUAAUGAUGGCCAGGCUGUCUCCACCCGAGACUCAGUGAAAUUGAACUCGCUGUGAAGAUGCAGUGUACCCGCGGCAAGACGGAAAGACCCCGUGAACCUUUACUAUAGCUUGACACUGAACAUUGAGCCUUGAUGUGUAGGAUAGGUGGGAGGCUUUGAAGCGUGGACGCCAGUCUGCGUGGAGCCAACCUUGAAAUACCACCCUUUAAUGUUUGAUGUUCUAACGUUGGCCCCUGACCGGGGUUGCGGACAGUGUCUGGUGGGUAGUUUGACUGGGGCGGUCUCCUCCCAAAGCGUAACGGAGGAGCACGAAGGUUAGCUAAUCCUGGUCGGACAUCAGGAGGUUAGUGCAAUGGCAUAAGCUAGCUUGACUGCGAGCGUGACGGCGCGAGCAGGUGCGAAAGCAGGUCAUAGUGAUCCGGUGGUUCUGAAUGGAAGGGCCAUCGCUCAACGGAUAAAAGGUACUCCGGGGAUAACAGGCUGAUACCGCCCAAGAGUUCAUAUCGACGGCGGUGUUUGGCACCUCGAUGUCGGCUCAUCACAUCCUGGGGCUGAAGUAGGUCCCAAGGGUAUGGCUGUUCGCCAUUUAAAGUGGUACGCGAGCUGGGUUUAGAACGUCGUGAGACAGUUCGGUCCCUAUCUGCCGUGGGCGCUGGAGAAUUGAGGGGGGCUGCUCCUAGUACGAGAGGACCGGAGUGGACGCAUCACUGGUGUUCGGGUUGUCAUGCCAAUGGCACUGCCCGGUAGCUAAAUGCGGAAGAGAUAAGUGCUGAAAGCAUCUAAGCACGAAACUUGCCCCGAGAUGAGUUCUCCCUGAGACUUUAAGUCUCCUGAAGGAACGUU